RNAcentral lists this ribosomal RNA (253 nucleotides) under uncultured bacterium. Its description in RNAcentral is "partial 16S ribosomal RNA". It matches the Rfam family "Bacterial small subunit ribosomal RNA", at positions 524 to 776 of the family's 1533-position model. The record is from RNAcentral.
UACGUAGGGGGCAAGCGUUGUCCGGAUUCAUUGGGCGUAAAGAGCGUGUAGGCGGCCAGGUAGGUCGGUUGUGAAAACUGGAGGCUCAACCUUCAGAGGUCGACCGAAACCAUCUGGCUAGAGUCCGGGAGAGGAGAGUGGAAUUCCUGGUGUAGCGGUGAAAUGCGUAGAUAUCAGGAGGAACACCGGUGGUGCAGACGGCUCUCUGGACCGUAACUGACGCUGAGACACGAAAGCGUGGGUAGCAAACAGG